GUGCCCGUAGCUCAAUAGGAUAGAGUUUCAGAUUUCGGCUCUGAAUGUUGAAAGUUCAAAUCUUUCCGGGCAUA
Molecule: transfer RNA, 74 nt
Filed under: Botryococcus braunii
Lineage: Eukaryota; Viridiplantae; Chlorophyta; Trebouxiophyceae
Description: tRNA-Arg
Rfam family: tRNA
About the family: Transfer RNA (tRNA) molecules are approximately 80 nucleotides in length. Their secondary structure includes four short double-helical elements and three loops (D, anti-codon, and T loops).
Source: RNAcentral